CUUGGGAGGGGGGUCCCUCAGCCCAGAUUGUGAGAGGGCGCUGGCCAGACGGAGGGACCCCACCGGUGCACG
Molecule: non-coding RNA, 72 nt
Organism: Myotis brandtii (Brandt's bat)
Lineage: Eukaryota; Metazoa; Chordata; Mammalia; Chiroptera; Vespertilionidae
Source: Rfam